GGGGGCGAUCUGGUUUCGACGGGGGUGUGAACUCCGGGUCGCAUGCCGGGGCCCUCGGACCUCGAUAAAAACCGGGGAACCUGUACGUGCGAACGAGCCUAUGGCUCUGGCUGCCUAACUAGCAGUCACGUCCGCCCGUCCCCCUCCCGCGGGGACGGUCACGGGCGUCACCAAUGCGGGAUAGGCGCCCAAGUCGCCCGAGCGCGGCGCGCCGAAACUCACUCGGGAUCGCGGCGAAGAGAGCCUGCCCGCGGGCGCUCGGCGUCGCCAAAACAAACCACGGGAUAAGCAUGUAGGGAUGCCGGUCGGAUCACUUCCGGACGCGGGUUCGAUUCCCGCCGCCUCCAUUU
This 350-nucleotide transfer-messenger RNA is filed under the name Myxococcales bacterium. It matches the Rfam family "transfer-messenger RNA". From Rfam's summary of the family: Bacterial tmRNA, also known as 10Sa RNA or SsrA, is named for its dual tRNA and mRNA-like properties. Lineage: Bacteria; Pseudomonadati; Myxococcota; Myxococcia; Myxococcales. The record is from RNAcentral. RNAcentral also lists the same sequence under 1 other name.